AUUGAACGCUGGCGGCAUGCUUUACACAUGCAAGUCGAACGGCAGCGCGGGCUUUGGCCUGGCGGCGAGUGGCGAACGGGUGAGUAAUACAUCGGAACGUGCCCAGUAGUGGGGGAUAGCUCGGCGAAAGCCGGAUUAAUACCGCAUACGACCUGAGGGUGAAAGCGGGGGAUCUUCGGACCUCGCGCUAUUGGAGCGGCCGAUGGCAGAUUAGCUAGUUGGUGGGGUAAAGGCCUACCAAGGCGACGAUCUGUAGCUGGUCUGAGAGGACGACCAGCCACACUGGGACUGAGACACGGCCCAGACUCCUACGGGAGGCAGCAGUGGGGAAUGUUGGACAAUGGGCGAAAGCCUGAUCCAGCAAUGCCGCGUGUGUGAUGAAGGCCUUCGGGUUGUAAAGCACUUUUGGCGGGAACGAAAAGGACUGUGCCAAUACCACGGUUCGAUGACGGUACCCGCAGAAUAAGCACCGGCUAACUACGUG
Molecule: ribosomal RNA, 484 nt
Filed under: uncultured bacterium
Lineage: Bacteria
Description: partial 16S ribosomal RNA
Rfam family: Bacterial small subunit ribosomal RNA
Source: RNAcentral